GGCAACGGCUACUUCCGCUUCCAACGGGGAGACGUGGGUUCAAAUCCCACCGCCA
Molecule: transfer RNA, 55 nt
Filed under: Micromonospora parathelypteridis
Lineage: Bacteria; Bacillati; Actinomycetota; Actinomycetes; Micromonosporales; Micromonosporaceae
Description: tRNA-Leu
Source: RNAcentral